GGGAGUGGUGAGCUGUUGUUGACCAGAUGAAGACUUGAUGGCUGGACUCAAAGUAACAUCAAGCAAACAGGUCAGAUAGACAACCCCCAUCUUCUCUGUCUACAGGAACUUAGUCCUCUGAAAUCCAGUCACCUAGCUCUUUCCCAGUGGGUGGGCAAUGGCUAUCUUCAGGUCAGCAAUUCUAGCCUUGCAAGGAGUGGUACACAAGAAUAUAUAUAGCCCUGGGAUGGGAAAUGUACUAUUUAACCAACCACUCUGCACAUCAAACGUGAAUUACACUGAUUCUGAAUCACCAGUACCAUUUCAUCAUUUAACUAGCAAAGGUUAAAAGCUAGUCAUUAUAAAAGAAGCCCUGUAAUGAACUUCUCUAUAACCUUGUGUGAUGAGAGAUACAAGAAACUAGCACUUAAUGUGUCCCAGGGAUGCACUGUGUAUUUAGCAUAAAGAUCUAUCUAUUAAUACUUUCUGUCUAGAGUCACCCAUAGCUACCAGAUGUUCAAUUAAGAGAGUUUUGAAUACAGUUUACUAAAGGUACAGAAGAAUAAAAAUCUGGUUUCACCCAA
RNAcentral lists this long non-coding RNA (563 nucleotides) under Bos taurus (domestic cattle). RNAcentral's name for it is "long non-coding RNA NONBTAT017007". Lineage: Eukaryota; Metazoa; Chordata; Mammalia; Artiodactyla; Bovidae. The record is from RNAcentral.